RNAcentral lists this ribosomal RNA (400 nucleotides) under uncultured bacterium. RNAcentral's name for it is "bacterial SSU rRNA". It matches the Rfam family "Bacterial small subunit ribosomal RNA", at positions 355 to 748 of the family's 1533-position model. The record is from RNAcentral.
UCGAGAAUUUUUCUCAAUGGGGGAAACCCUGAAGGAGCGACGCCGCGUGGAGGAUGAAGGUCUUCGGAUUGUAAACUCCUGUCAUGAGGGAGUAAUGCACGGCGUUAACUGCGUACGUGUUUGAUAGUACCUCAAGAGGAAGAGACGGCUAACUCUGUGCCAGCAGCCGCGGUAAUACAGAGGUCUCAAGCGUUGUUCGGAUUCAUUGGGCGUAAAGGGUGCGUAGGUGGCGUGGUAAGUCAGAUGUGAAAUCCCCGGGCUCAACCUGGGAACUGCAUUUGAUACUGCCGUGCUAGAGUGCUGGAGGGGAGACUGGAAUUCACGGUGUAGCAGUGAAAUGCGUAGAUAUCGUGAGGAAGACCGGUGGCGAAGGCGAGUCUCUGGACAGCAACUGACACUG